GGGGUAAUAACUGAGUGGUAGAGCACAUGUUUAACAUGCACAAAGUCCUGGGUUCGAUCCCCAGUACCUCCA
Molecule: transfer RNA, 72 nt
Filed under: Camelus bactrianus (Bactrian camel)
Lineage: Eukaryota; Metazoa; Chordata; Mammalia; Artiodactyla; Camelidae
Also listed under: 3 other names
Rfam family: tRNA
About the family: Transfer RNA (tRNA) molecules are approximately 80 nucleotides in length. Their secondary structure includes four short double-helical elements and three loops (D, anti-codon, and T loops).
Source: Rfam by way of RNAcentral